Molecule: ribosomal RNA, 422 nt
Filed under: uncultured bacterium
Lineage: Bacteria
Description: bacterial SSU rRNA
Rfam family: Bacterial small subunit ribosomal RNA
Source: RNAcentral
UGAGGAAUAUUGGGCAAUGCCCGCAAGGGUGACCCAGCAACGCCGCGUGGAGGAUGAAUGUCGUAAGAUUGUAAACUCCUGUUAGAGGGGAAGAAUAGUACCGGUUGGACCGGUAUAUGACUGUACCCUCAGAGAAAGCCCCGGCUAACUACGUGCCAGCAGCCGCGGUAAUACGUAGGGGGCAAGCGUUGUCCGGAUUUACUGGGUGUAAAGGGCGCGCAGGCGGGAUAAAAAGUCAGUGGUGAAAUCCUACAGCUUAACUGUAGAACUGCCUUUGAUACUUUUAUUCUUGAGUACGGGAGAGAGAGACGGAAUUCCAGGUGUAGUGGUGAAAUACGUAGAUAUCUGGAAGAACACCAGUUGCGAAGGCGGUCUCUUGGUCCGACACUGACGCUGAGGCGCGAAAGCGUGGGGAGCAAACG